This 253-nucleotide ribosomal RNA is filed under the name uncultured bacterium. RNAcentral's name for it is "partial 16S ribosomal RNA". It matches the Rfam family "Bacterial small subunit ribosomal RNA", at positions 524 to 776 of the family's 1533-position model. The record is from RNAcentral.
UACGUAGGGCGCAAUCGUUGUCCGGAAUUAUUGGGCGUAAAGAGCUCGUAGGCGGCCUGUUGCGUCCGCUGUGAAAUCCCGGGGCUCAACCCCGGGCGUGCAGUGGAUACGGGCUGGCUGGAGGCAGGCAGGGGAGAACGGAAUUCCUGGUGUAGCGGUGAAAUGCGCAGAUAUCAGGAGGAACACCGGUGGCGAAGGCGGUUCUCUGGGCCUGUACUGACGCUGAGGAGCGAAAGCGUGGGGAGCGAACAGG